UAGAGUUUGAUCCUGGCUCAGAAUCAACGCUGGCGGCGUGCCUAACACAUGCAAGUCGAACGCGAAAGUCCCGCAAGGGAUAAGUAGAGUGGCAAACGGGUGAGUAACACGUGGGUGACCUGCCUUCGAGCGGGGGAUAACGUCCCGAAAGGGACGCUAAUACCGCAUAACAUCCUGCUUUUUAAGAGGUGGAGAUCAAAGCUGGGGAUCGCAAGACCUAGCACUCGAAGAGGGGCCCGCGUCCGAUUAGCUAGUUGGUGGGGUAACGGCUCACCAAGGCAACGAUCGGUAGCCGGCCUGAGAGGGCGGACGGCCACACUGGGACUGAGACACGGCCCAGACUCCUACGGGAGGCAGCAGUGGGGAAUUGUUCGCAAUGGGCGCAAGCCUGACGACGCAACGCCGCGUGGAGGAUGAAGAUCUUCGGGUCGUAAACUCCUUUCGAUCGAGACGAAUUCCUUUGCGGUGAACAAUCGCGAAGGUUGACGGUACCGAGAGAAGAAGCCCCGGCUAACUCCGUGCCAGCAGCCGCGGUAAUACGGGGGGGGCAAGCGUUGUUCGGAAUUACUGGGCGUAAAGGGCUCGUAGGCGGCCAACUAAGUCAGACGUGAAAUCCCUCGGCUUAACCGGGGAACUGCGUCUGAUACUGGAUGGCUUGAGUUUGGGAGAGGGAUGCGGAAUUCCAGGUGUAGCGGUGAAAUGCGUAGAUAUCUGGAGGAACACCGGUGGCGAAGGCGGCAUCCUGGACCAACACUGACGCUGAGCAGCGAAAGCCAGGGAGCGAACAGGAUGAGAUACCCCCGCUAGUCCUGUCCUCAACGAUGAGUGCUUGUGUCGCUGG
RNAcentral lists this ribosomal RNA (841 nucleotides) under uncultured soil bacterium. Its description in RNAcentral is "SSU rRNA". It matches the Rfam family "Bacterial small subunit ribosomal RNA", at positions 1 to 828 of the family's 1533-position model. The record is from RNAcentral.